ACGAGGGGGGCAAGCGUUGUUCGGAAUUAUUGGGCGUAAAGGGCGCGUAGGCGGUGCGGUAAGUCGGAUGUGAAAUCCCGGGGCUCAACCCCGGAACUGCAUUCGAUACUGCUGCGCUAGAGUACUGGAGAGGAGAUUGGAAUUUACGGUGUAGCAGUGAAAUGCGUAGAUAUCGUAAGGAAGACCAGUGGCGAAGGCGGAUCUCUGGACAGUUACUGACACUGUGGCACGAAGGCCAGGGGAGCAAACGGGA
RNAcentral lists this ribosomal RNA (253 nucleotides) under uncultured prokaryote. RNAcentral describes it as "partial 16S ribosomal RNA". It matches the Rfam family "Bacterial small subunit ribosomal RNA", at positions 525 to 777 of the family's 1533-position model. The record is from RNAcentral.